RNAcentral lists this ribosomal RNA (1372 nucleotides) under uncultured bacterium. RNAcentral describes it as "bacterial SSU rRNA". It matches the Rfam family "Bacterial small subunit ribosomal RNA", at positions 28 to 1381 of the family's 1533-position model. The record is from RNAcentral.
GAUGAACGCUGGCGGCGUGCCUAAUACAUGCAAGUCGAGCGAACGGACGAGAAGCUUGCUUCUCUGAUGUUAGCGGCGGGCGGGUGAGUAACACGUGGAUAACCUACCUAUAAGACUGGGAUAACUUCGGGAAACCGGAGCUAAUACCGGAUAAUAUUUUGAACCGCAUGGUUCAAAAGUGAAAGACGGUCUUGCUGUCACUUAUAGAUGGAUCCGCGCUGCAUUAGCUAGUUGGUAAGGUAACGGCUUACCAAGGCAACGAUGCAUAGCCGACCUGAGAGGGUGAUCGGCCACACUGGAACUGAGACACGGUCCAGACUCCUACGGGAGGCAGCAGUAGGGAAUCUUCCGCAAUGGGCGAAAGCCUGACGGAGCAACGCCGCGUGAGUGAUGAAGGUCUUCGGAUCGUAAAACUCUGUUAUUAGGGAAGAACAUAUGUGUAAGUAACUGUGCACAUCUUGACGGUACCUAAUCAGAAAGCCACGGCUAACUACGUGCCAGCAGCCGCGGUAAUACGUAGGUGGCAAGCGUUAUCCGGAAUUAUUGGGCGUAAAGCGCGCGUAGGCGGUUUUUUAAGUCUGAUGUGAAAGCCCACGGCUCAACCGUGGAGGGUCAUUGGAAACUGGAAGACUUGAGUGCAGAAGAGGAAAGUGGAAUUCCAUGUGUAGCGGUGAAAUGCGCAGAGAUAUGGAGGAACACCAGUGGCGAAGGCGACUUUCUGGUCUGUAACUGACGCUGAUGUGCGAAAGCGUGGGGAUCAAACAGGAUUAGAUACCCUGGUAGUCCACGCCGUAAACGAUGAGUGCUAAGUGUUAGGGGGUUUCCGCCCCUUAGUGCUGCAGCUAACGCAUUAAGCACUCCGCCUGGGGAGUACGACCGCAAGGUUGAAACUCAAAGGAAUUGACGGGGACCCGCACAAGCGGUGGAGCAUGUGGUUUAAUUCGAAGCAACGCGAAGAACCUUACCAAAUCUUGACAUCCUUUGACAACUCUAGAGAUAGAGCCUUCCCCUUCGGGGGACAAAGUGACAGGUGGUGCAUGGUUGUCGUCAGCUCGUGUCGUGAGAUGUUGGGUUAAGUCCCGCAACGAGCGCAACCCUUAAGCUUAGUUGCCAUCAUUAAGUUGGGCACUCUAAGUUGACUGCCGGUGACAAACCGGAGGAAGGUGGGGAUGACGUCAAAUCAUCAUGCCCCUUAUGAUUUGGGCUACACACGUGCUACAAUGGACAAUACAAAGGGCAGCGAAACCGCGAGGUCAAGCAAAUCCCAUAAAGUUGUUCUCAGUUCGGAUUGUAGUCUGCAACUCGACUACAUGAAGCUGGAAUCGCUAGUAAUCGUAGAUCAGCAUGCUACGGUGAAUACGUUCCCGGGUCU